AUGGAUGUGAUGAUAAUUUCCCCAGAUGAUCGAAGUUGAUUAAGCUGUGCGAUUUUUUUCUCUCUUUUGAGAAUCCAAGCCAGAAAUCUGAUCCAU
The sequence is a small nucleolar RNA, 96 nucleotides long. It matches the Rfam family "Small nucleolar RNA Z103". From Rfam's summary of the family: This family consists of several snoRNA Z103 sequences which are members of the C/D class of snoRNA which contain the C (UGAUGA) and D (CUGA) box motifs. This family seems to be found exclusively in plants. The record is from Rfam.